AGGGUUGGGUGGAGGCUCUCC
This 21-nucleotide non-coding RNA is filed under the name Callithrix jacchus (white-tufted-ear marmoset). Lineage: Eukaryota; Metazoa; Chordata; Mammalia; Primates; Cebidae. The record is from RNAcentral. RNAcentral also lists the same sequence under 8 other names.